GAUUUUGGGUUGUCAUUGACUAUGUUGGAUUGGAUUGGAAUUGGGAUUAGAUGUGAAUUAUGGUUAUAUCUUGGUUGUGAUUUUUUUUUAUGAAAUUUGGGAAUUGGUUGUAAUGUAGAAGUUAGUUGUAGGUUGAAGGUUAGGGAAUUUGGGAAAAAUGAGAUUGAAUGGACAAAGAGCUCCAUGAAUUUGAAUGGUUUAUG
This 203-nucleotide long non-coding RNA is filed under the name Lathyrus oleraceus (garden pea). RNAcentral describes it as "Pisum sativum (pea) long non-coding RNA (PSAT_LNC030893)". The record is from RNAcentral. Lineage: Eukaryota; Viridiplantae; Streptophyta; Magnoliopsida; Fabales; Fabaceae.